AACGAACGCUGGCGGCGUGCCUAACACAUGCAAGUCGAACGAGAAAGGGGCUUCGGCUCCGAGUAAAGUGGCGCACGGGUGAGUAACACGUAGGUAACCUGCCUCUAAGAUUGGGAUAACUUGUCGAAAGAUGAGCUAAUACCAAAUAAGACCACGGUUCCCUCGGGGACAGAGGUCAAAGGUAGCCUCUAUUUAUAAGCUAUCGCUGAGAGAUGGGCCUGCGUACCAUUAGCUAGNGGUGAGGUAACGGCUCACCAAGGCAAAGAUGGUUAGCUGGUCUGAGAGGAUGAUCAGCCACACUGGAACUGAGACACGGUCCAGACUCCUACGGGAGGCAGCAGUGGGGAAUAUUGCGCAAUGGGCGAAAGCCUGACGCAGCAACGCCGCGUGAGUGAUGAA
This 399-nucleotide ribosomal RNA is filed under the name uncultured bacterium. Its description in RNAcentral is "bacterial SSU rRNA". It matches the Rfam family "Bacterial small subunit ribosomal RNA", at positions 29 to 412 of the family's 1533-position model. The record is from RNAcentral.